AUGGCAGGAACGAAGGGCGACGACGGACCGGCCAUCGGCAUCGACCUCGGGACGUCCUACUCCUGCGUGGCCGUGUGGCGGCCGGUGCACCAGCGCGUGGAGGUCAUCGCCAACGACCAGGGCAACCUCACCACGCCUUCCUGCGUCGCCUUCACCGACACCUGGCGUCUCAUCGGCGACGCGGCCAUGAACCAGGCCGCCAUGAACCCCGUCAACACCGUCUUCGGUGAGAAGAGAACUACCAACUGA
RNAcentral lists this ribosomal RNA (249 nucleotides) under Triticum aestivum (bread wheat). Its description in RNAcentral is "partial small subunit ribosomal RNA". The record is from RNAcentral. Lineage: Eukaryota; Viridiplantae; Streptophyta; Magnoliopsida; Poales; Poaceae.